Molecule: ribosomal RNA, 264 nt
Filed under: uncultured bacterium
Lineage: Bacteria
Description: partial 16S ribosomal RNA
Rfam family: Bacterial small subunit ribosomal RNA
Source: RNAcentral
GUCCACACCUUAAACGUUGGGCGCUAGGUGUGGGGUCCAUUCCACGGAUUCCGUGCCGCAGCUAACGCAUUAAGCGCCCCGCCUGGGGAGUACGGCCGCAAGGCUAAAACUCAAAGGAAUUGACGGGGGCCCGCACAAGCGGCGGAGCAUGCGGAUUAAUUCGAUGCAACGCGAAGAACCUUACCUGGGUUUGACAUAUGCCUGAAAGCCCCCAGAGAUGGGGGCCCCUUUUAGUCGGUAUACAGGUGGUGCAUGGGCUGUCGU